CUAAAAUUGCCAUAAAACAUUAAAACACGGGAUGAUACAUUACAAGACAGAACUUAAUUUUAUAUGUAAUUUCAGCCAGUCUUGAAAGCGUGAAAUACCCCAAUUGUCUCCUCCCCCCCCCCCCGUCUUCGGGACCUUCUCUGUUUACACAAUAUUUCACGGACAAAGCCUCAACCUCGUGCCCAGGGUCUCGAGGACUCUGGGUACGAGGUUGACAAAGCCUCUGUUUGAUUUUAAAAUAUUAUCGGAAGAAAAACUCUCAAAUCAGCUAUUCCAUGGCAAAUUAAAUGUCAGUAAAAACUGUGAAAUACAAUAUAUACAGUAUGAAACAGCAGGUUUCUACAGAAAAAGCUACAAAAUAUUUAUCAUAUGUACACGACAAUUCAGUCGUCAAAUAAAUACAUCUGAAAAACUCACUCAGUAUUUCAUUCAUAAAUAGCUACAGUAUGAGAUUUACCUAUAGUUUUCCAUUAUAAUUAUACUGUAUAUAGAAAUGUUGACGAAAUAUAAUUUUUGUGUACUUUUGCCUGGCACGUAAUUGACAAUAUCUUUACAUCUAAAUUUUAAAUAUUAAAUAGAAACAUUUUUAUAUUAAAGAUGAUCUCCACUCGUGUGCGCAUGUGCGAUCUUUGUUUACGUUUUGAACUUCUAUAUUUGUAAAAUAUGAUGAUAUACAAGCUGAAUAUCUAACACUUUUCGGGUUCACCAUACGUUUCAAUUCAAAAAAGUUCGAAAGAUGCAAAAUUUGGGCAAUGUUUAUAUCUGGGGGUCCCCGUUUGUUAUGAGCAGAACUGAUCACAGGCGGCCCAAUCUCAGAAUGAAUGAUCAGGUGUUGCGGGUUUUUGACGGUUUUUAUAAACAAAUUUAUAGUCAACCAAAACUAUUUUAAAAACAUUCUUAAAUUAGUCAAAUAAAUACAUUUUAACAAUAAAAUAUAGUUGACAUGAUAGUAUAAUACCUUUGCAUUCUUUUAAUUACUCCAUGAGCUCAUUUAGAGCGGUUGAUGUAACAUUUUCUGUGGCCUACAUUGAGUGUGCUCAUCUAUAUAUAAUAUAACAGUAAAAGGCUAAUCACUGGCGGCACGACCGCAUCGCCUUCAAAGUCAAAUAUCUCCGCUCAAACUUCUCGUACGCCAAAACAAAUUCGAUUACAUCUUUUCGCAAAGAUUUCUCUUUUUAAAUAAUAUGGUUUGAUCGUAG
Molecule: non-coding RNA, 1199 nt
Organism: Paramuricea clavata
Lineage: Eukaryota; Metazoa; Cnidaria; Anthozoa; Malacalcyonacea; Plexauridae
Source: the annotation of a GenBank genome assembly